UACGAAGGGGGCUAGCGUUGCUCGGAAUCACUGGGCGUAAAGGGUGCGUAGGCGGGUUUUUAAGUCAGGGGUGAAAUCCUGGAGCUCAACUCCAGAACUGCCUUUGAUACUGAAGAUCUUGAGUCCGGGAGAGGUGAGUGGAACUGCGAGUGUAGAGGUGAAAUUCGUAGAUAUUCGCAAGAACACCAGUGGCGAAGGCGGCUCACUGGCCCGGUACUGACGCUGAGGCACGAAAGCGUGAGGAUCAAACAGG
Molecule: ribosomal RNA, 253 nt
Filed under: uncultured bacterium
Lineage: Bacteria
Description: partial 16S ribosomal RNA
Rfam family: Bacterial small subunit ribosomal RNA
Source: RNAcentral